RNA transcript from Zalophus californianus (California sea lion), 2482 nucleotides. RefSeq lists it as uncharacterized. Lineage: Eukaryota; Metazoa; Chordata; Mammalia; Carnivora; Otariidae. The transcript has 7 exons. The record is from RefSeq and is a predicted model, not a curated record.
GGAAACUGCUGUCAAGCGUUAACGAAAAUGCUCAAGAUCACCGAAGAGCAAAUUCACUCUUCCAACCCAGGGCUGUGUGUCCUUUGCUCUCAGACGGGCCUUGAUUCACUUCUAGACCCAGCUGGUGAACUGGCGAACGUCCAAGGUCCCAGCGAACCCGCGGGGGGCUUCCAGAGGCAGAGCCCACCCAGCCUUGCGGAGAGGGCAUGCCCGGGACACCUGACCACCGCACAGCCUCCACCAGUCAGCGAUUUGGGAAACCUCAGCUUGAAUAAAAGGACUGUUGAUUCAAAGUGAGGAGGUUGGAUAUCAGGAGACUUCACCAACACACCUGUGAGAAGUCCGAGGGGCACCAAGGGCCCGUGCUGGUACUGAGCUGAGCUCCAGACAGCCCCCAGGCAUUGUCAGUCACCAGGUAUCGGCAGGAUUAAAACAUGUCCAGCUUUUCCUAACGAGAGCAAGGACACGCAGUAUUUCUUCCACUUUCUUCUCGACACCUUGCACCUACCCAGACGGAAGCAGACCUUCUGCAGCCUUGUCUGUGGCAGGGAAUGGAAUUCCAGUGACUCUGCACAGAGCAGUGAUCUUGGGGCUACUUGGACGGACUGUAUACCUCCUCACUGGCACUCGCGUUUCCAGAGAGCCCGUGCCGAUGGCCGCUGACAUGACAGCUACACCUGGUCACCGAGCACAGAGAUGCACCUCGUGCAGGAUCUUGCAGAACCUAAGAUAUUUCAUAGCAACACUAAUUCCAUCUGUUGUACGUGACAGGAAAUGGGUCAGUUCUACAGUGUUUCAGGAACACACCUGAUGAGCACAGUGAGAGCAACUCUGAGCGUCUGGGACUGUGGCCUCCGAUGCAAUCCCACAGGAAGUGUCGAAGCACCGGACGUGGAACAGAGCAGGACGGACGUGUGGUCCUCAAGGUUCUGACCGAAGUCCCAGCCGUUGCAGGUCCCCAACCUGAAGUGGGCCUGGAGGAAGCCAGGAUGCCGAUCUGAACUAACUGAAGCAUUUUCCCACGUCAGUUUCAAAUGCCCCAGCAUGGAGUGUGGUGCCGCGGUGCCCCCCAGGGAAGAGGCCACGCCGUGCCGACAAAGCACGAGUUACGACGGCUCCGCUCAGGCUCAGCGAAGCCAGCUACAGCCAGCCAGGUCGUCAGCGGGAAGGAGCCAAGCAUAAGUAUGAGUAGCGUCUUUAAAAAGAGGCACACAUCCAACAAGGUUUUACGGAGCCUACGAGGAUAGGUAUCGACCAGCUGAUGAAAAUGUGACCAGCCAGCCCUGAGCUUCCUCUGGGAGCAAUGGCUCGGUGUUCACGAAUUUGGGGUCUGUGGCUACUCUGUAGAAAAUGUAAUUACCAUGAAUAACAGGAAUUGGCUAUAUUAUUGUAACUGAGAAUUUAUUAUUGAUUUUCAUAUAAAGGAUUCUUUGCUAUGAUUGACAUGGAUAUACAAUCAUAGAAUUUUAAGUUUGGUUCUAGCUUUGCUACAAGUAAGAAGAUCAUUUAUUUGGAUAAUUUCUCAUCUGUAUAUUAGACUACAUGAACUUUAAAAUAUAUAUGCUUUUUAUUAACUGUUUUACAUUAAAGACUGAAUUAGGUUUAAACACGAGUGUCCAAGAAAAUAACAUGGGUCUGAAAUGCUUCAAUUUAACAUUAACAACCGCUUGCCCCUGUUAGGGACAAAUAUGGCUAGUUUCACGGGUCAGAACACUGCGAGGCCAGUGGGGACCAGGAGGGUCUCUGGGGGUCUGGUGGACCGGUAUCAUCCUACAGCUCCAGGGGCGGGAACACGGGAGGGUGCAGCAUCCAGGGCAGAGAAACACGAGCGUGUGCAUGUGUGCACACGCCCUAACCAGAGGCUGGUAACUGCUGUCACUGCCACAUGAGGGCAGGUAGGGGGGGGAACACAAGGGAGGGAAUUAAGUCUUAGCACCACUGCGGGUGGGGCUUAAAAACCAAAAACAAGAAACCAAACAGACUGUGGUGACGCUUGUUAGAGGGCCGAGCUCCUUUCUCCUGUUCCACCCAGACCAGUGGCCAGGUGAGAGCUAAGGAUGCAUGUGCAGGGGCCACGACGGGCUGGGAAGGCCCACACAGGGAAGACAACACCACUGCUCCUUACAGUAACAAAGGCUCCAAUCAAUUUUGGCCAUAUAGCUUUGUGGAGAAAUUGUUUGGAAUUUAUAUUCACUCUAUGUGUAGUAGGGUACGCUAAGAGAAAGCCUCUCCCCACUGCCCAGAAGGAAUCCACUCUCGGGGCUCCGAACGACGGGAGGUGGGCAGAGGGAGGCAGACACCCAUCCCUCCGAUGGAACCUGCCAUCAAACCCGGGCCAGGACCAUCAUGGACACCACUGCACGGGAGAAUCGCAUUUCUACUGGAAACAGCCAGUGUCCAAACAAAAUAUCGGCAAACAAAGCCGUGGUAGAGAGCUUAUUUUCCCCUAACAUUGCCCAAAUGACGGAAACCUUUCUCUGUC